RNAcentral lists this ribosomal RNA (305 nucleotides) under uncultured bacterium. Its description in RNAcentral is "partial 16S ribosomal RNA". It matches the Rfam family "Bacterial small subunit ribosomal RNA", at positions 505 to 807 of the family's 1533-position model. The record is from RNAcentral.
ACAGCAGUCGCCACGGUAAUACGGAGGGGGCUAGCGUUGUUCGGAAUUACUGGGCGUAAAGCGCACGUAGGCGGCUUGGUAAGUUAGAGGUGAAAGCCUGGAGCUCAACUCCAGAAUUGCCUUUAAGACUGCCGAGCUAGCAGGUGAGAGAGGUAAGUGGAAUUCCGAGUGUAGAGGUGAAAUUCGUAGAUAUUCGGAAGAACACCAGUGGCGAAGGCGGCUUACUGGCUCAUACUGGACGCUGAGGUGCGAAAGCGUGGGGAGCAAACAGGAUUAGAUACCCCCGUAGUCCCUGUCUCUUAUAC